This 388-nucleotide ribosomal RNA is filed under the name uncultured bacterium. RNAcentral's name for it is "bacterial SSU rRNA". It matches the Rfam family "Bacterial small subunit ribosomal RNA", at positions 30 to 417 of the family's 1533-position model. The record is from RNAcentral.
AUUGAACGCUGGCGGCAUGCCUUACACAUGCAAGUCGAACGGCAGCACGGACUUCGGUCUGGUGGCGAGUGGCGAACGGGUGAGUAAUGUAUCGGAACGUACCUUUCAGUGGGGGGAUAACGUAGCGAAAGUUACGCUAAUACCGCAUAUUCUGUGAGCAGGAAAGCAGGGGAUCGCAAGACCUUGCGCUGAUUGAGCGGCCGAUAUCAGAUUAGCUAGUUGGUGAGGUAAAGGCUCACCAAGGCGACGAUCUGUAGCGGGUCUGAGAGGAUGAUCCGCCACACUGGAACUGAGACACGGUCCAGACUCCUACGGGAGGCAGCAGUGGGGAAUUUUGGACAAUGGGGGCAACCCUGAUCCAGCCAUGCCGCGUGAGUGAAGAAGGCCU